RNAcentral lists this transfer RNA (84 nucleotides) under Bradyrhizobium sp. WSM1253. RNAcentral's name for it is "tRNA-OTHER". The record is from RNAcentral. Lineage: Bacteria; Pseudomonadati; Pseudomonadota; Alphaproteobacteria; Hyphomicrobiales; Nitrobacteraceae.
CGAUCCAUAAGUCAUUGAUUGUAUUUGACCCGUGGCUGACUCUUAAUCAGCGGGUCCCAGGUUCGAGCCCUGGUGCGUCCACCA